UGGCUCAGUGGUUAAGAGCACUGACUGCUCUUUCAGAAGACCUGGGUUCAAUUCCCAG
Non-coding RNA from Cricetulus griseus (Chinese hamster), 58 nucleotides. Lineage: Eukaryota; Metazoa; Chordata; Mammalia; Rodentia; Cricetidae. The record is from Rfam.